This is a non-coding RNA of Brachypodium distachyon (stiff brome), 128 nucleotides long. The record is from Rfam. Lineage: Eukaryota; Viridiplantae; Streptophyta; Magnoliopsida; Poales; Poaceae.
UUGAUACUCCCUCCGUCCCAUAUUAAGUGAUUCAAAUUUCUCUAAAUAUAGAUGUGUGUACACACACUAAAAUACAUCUAGAUACAUAUAAUAGAAAGUCACUUAAUAUGGGACGGAUGGAGUAUUUA